ACUAAGAGCUCUUCCGAUUAGAUUUCGCCAAAACCACCCCACCGCCUAAUGCUUCUUCUUAUAUGUCUUCCUGUCAAUCGUUAAUAGAAAAACCGCCGCUACCAAAAAAAAUCCCUAAACUUAUCGAUAGCGGAAGGAACGAGGACGUCUUACUGUUUCUCCAUGCAAUCGACAAUACGUUCGGUGGUUUGACGUGGCAAUACGUUUGGUGAUUUGGUGUCAAUCGUGUCUGCAUUCACCCUCUCACCUCCACACCUGCUUCGCCCCACUGUAAAUUCACUUUCUUCUACCCCUGUCUCGAUUGAGAGUUUUUUUAAGCCCUAAUACAAUCGCUUCCGCUUCCGUCGUUCAUUGCUGUUUCAGGUUUUGGAUUUGGGUGGAAAUGCAGCAAGAGAUAACAAGAAGAAGAGAAUUAACUGUAGACAUGUUCUAUUUGUUAUGAGGAACUGUUCAAUGGACGAGAAUUAAUCCUUUAUCGACACCUCUCCUCACCUCUCCUGCUAUUUCUAUUCCCACCAUAUACGCCAGAUAUUGAUAUGGUGCUUAUAUGGACAGAAAUGGAAGAAUAUGGUCACUUUGGUAGGUAUGGAUAUAAAUUUCCUUUUGGUGAAGUGUUUUUUUCAUGGCCAUCUCUUAUUUUAGAUAUAUACAAUUCUGAUUGUACAAGGACCAGAGACCGAAACAGUAACAAAAUACAAACAUAUGGGUCGUAUGGAUGGAAAAAAAUGGGCUACCAGUCCAAUAACCGUAAAACCAUAGGGCCCAUUUUUAUAAUUUAUCUAAUAACAAUAUAAGCAUUAAAGUGGUUUCACGUUUUUGAAGUUGGAGUUAUUUUUUGGCAAAUACACAUCUAAAUCAUCUAUUUUUGGUGCCCUCAAGGUAUAUACAUGCAAGCAAUAGCAACAUACUUGAUGGGUUUUAUGCAUAAGAAACAAUCUUAUGUGCUCAUACAAACCCUAAUGUUUGGAUCUAGGUUUCUUUAUUGUACAUGCUUUGAAUCCAAGACUAAUAAACUUAGAUCUAACAUAUUAUAAACUGAAUUAGGGUUUAGAGAAUUACCUUUGAUUGUUAUAUAGCAAUAACAAUCAAUUCCUUGCUUGGAUUGGCCUUAGAAAGCUUAGUGCCUCAAGUGCUACACAUCUAAUGGAAUCACAAACACCUUAUGCAACUUGGAUGAAGAGGAGAAGAAAGGAGGCUGCCAAAAACGACUAGAAACCCUAGAGAAUCAGUUGUCCACGUUUUUGGGGCCUAAGGGGUCCUUUAUAUACUUGUGUGGGUUGCUAGGGUUUCAGUCAAAACCCUAAUGGACAGCUUAAACUCUAAGCAGCCCAUGGAACCUUCUGGAUAAGGCCAUGGACAAAAAUAUGAUGGGCUCCCAUCAUAAUUUCGUUCACCCCUUGUUCCUUUAGCAUUCCUUAGCCCAAUAACUCAAUUAUCCAAUAAUUGCAGUCCAGUCCCCUAAAUUUAAUUAAUCUCUUUUAGUCACAAAAUUAAUUCUUAAUUAAUUCUUGACUAAUAUUAAUUAAACAAUAUGAUUUCCCCUUUAAUAUAUUAUUCUCAUAAUAUAUUAAUAAAUCAUAUUUAAACCUCUCUCUUCUUAAUUCAUCCUACAUAUUGCUAUGGUGAAGGCAACCCAAAAGGACCAUGCUUAUAAUUGGGUUAAGUACAUACCAAAAUAGUUAUGGACUUAGACACUAAUCCAACAGUCUCCCAUUUGGAUAAGUCUAAUAACUAUUUUUCCGUAUGACUUCAGAACCUGAUCAGCAAUCGUAGCUUUGAAAAGCCGCUGUCAACUCUGAUCUUAUCAGAUAGCGUGUCCUCUAGAUAAGGGAUUAUAUAUUCCUCCAUUCUCAAGAUAUCGUAUAGACAAAAGACAUGAAUUUCAAUCAUUCUCUCUAUACUGUUUCCCGUCUUCCGAUUUAUGACGACUGAUAACAGACUACAAUUAAACACAUCAACUUAGUCCCGGCUUGGCCAAGCGCUUAGGUGUCAUCACUAAAUCAUCGAGAGACCCACAGAUAUCGCUUUUAUCCCACUUUAAGUAAAAGGAAUGGAUAAACUUUGACUCAUAUGCUUGCUUGCAUUUACUGAUCGAAUCAUACACAACAAUAAGUUUUAUAACACCAAGUUACUGGUGCGUUUACUUAUUAUCAAUGUGCAACCGACCAACAAAUAACAACUCACAUGUCUCGUUUCAAGAAUAUACAAUAUUAUCGUCUCACUAAUCACUCGUGAUAAAUCUAUGAAGUGAUCCAAGUGAGCGUGGGUUUAAUCCAAUACUCUAAUCUUAUCAAAGCACUCAUGAACUCUGCAGCAAACUUGUGCUAUGUCUAAACACUUCAGACAAUCUACAGACAGAUUCAUGACAGUCUUUAUUCAUACCUACUCCCAACGUAUGACUGACUGUGGAUGUUUGAAUAACCUAGUUAUUCUGGAAGUCAAAACAUGCAAACUGAAACAUAAUAAUAAUACUUAAUUCUAUAUGGCCUCAAACUUGUGAGAGUAAAUAAAACACUUCUAUUUAACCACCAUAUUGAUUACUUAUUAUUAUCGUUACUGUUUCAGAAAAUCAACUUAUUACUCAAAUUACAACAAUAGCUGUCCCAUGCAUUAAGCAUGCACACUAUGUUUCCUAUGGUCCUUACUUUAUGAAAUAGAUCAAUUGAAAAACCUUUUCAAUGAUGCUCAUUUCACAAUUCCCAAUCCUUAUCAUUAGUGUAAGAACACAAGGUUCUUUGCUACUAUUAGAAUAUGCUAGAUUCUAACAUCUUAUGCAACGAUCCUUUCAUAAAGUCAUAGCACAAAAGUCACCAAGACUUGGCUAAUGAAAUUACAAAGUACUUUCUCAGAAAUUGUUGCAAGACAAUUCCAUAGACGCGAAGUCUCACAUUCAAAGUACAUUCCUUUGAACAUCCUUCUUGCAUAAAAGUUUCUAAUCUAGACAUAGACUCUCAACAUCCAACUUCCAAUAUGGAAACAUUUCCAUAUUUGCCAAAUGACAACUCAUUCUUAAUAGAAUCUUAUCUAUUCAUAAUAAUGUCAAUAUGGUCCAUCCAAUACCAUACUUCCAACUACUCACAAGCGACCAAUCCUCAGCGAACUUUGGAUCGUCCUUUGAUAGUUGUUUAAUUAUUUUAGUCCAAACUGAUUCUAAUCAUUUUUCCCACUUAAUGCGCUAGACAUUUGGAAAAUUUUAGAAUGGUCAAAUAUUAUAACAUUUGCAAUCGAUCCUAUACCCCAAGCGUAUGAGACACGAUGCAUAAUGUCUUACAUAAAGAUAUGAUACUUUACCAAUCUUUUGCCAUAAUAUUUUAUGUGUCAUGUUCUCACAAUUCGAACUAUGAAGAGAGAUGUCGUAAUCAUAAUCGAAUUUUAAGAACACACAAUGUAUCCUUUGACUGAAAAUAUUAAAAUUUCUCAAUCUACGCUUUAGAUUAUGAAACGAAGUAUAAUAUUCUCUCCAUUAAUUAUAUUAAAACAACUUUUCAACCCAUGCAACUUUGCAAAUUGAAUCUUUGUUUUUCUAUAAUUAAUAUUGCUAACUUGCAAUACUCGCCAUAAUAAUCAUACAAGCAUAACACUUAUGCUCCCACUACCAUGAUGAUUAUUAUCAUAUAAGCAUAACACUUAUGCUCCCACUAGCUUUGACAUGUAUUCAGAAAACAAAUGAACUUUCAGAAAACAAUGCCUAUUGAAUUUCUGAAAUUCAUAUUUCUAAUACUAGAUGCUUCGAUAAGCCUUUAUCUAGGCUUCUUAACCUUAUACACCUUUGUCUUAGAUAGCUCAUAUGUGUGUUUAAACAAUUCAGAACUUAUGUUACUAAGUUCUAAAUGUUGAAACUAAUUGCCAAAUCUCAUAAUUCGAACUAUGGAAAGGGAUGUCGUAACCAUAAUCGAAUUUUGAGAAUACAAUUUUCACAAUCGCUAUCUUCUUAAAAUAUCUUUUAGUGAAAGCAUUUCCUCACAGUCAUUUUCAUGAAGGAGGGAAUCUUAUGACACUUAGAUUUUAUGGUGUAUGAGUUCCUAUCCAUGUGAAUUUGCCAAAACCAAGGUUUGCGACAAAUCCAAACUCAUAUGAACUGAAUUUUCUUAAUCUUGAUUUCUUGUCUUAUGGUAACACGAGUGCCCACCAUGUCUUCCAAGUAGUUUAGUAACUUGUCCUUACAUAUCAAUGUACUUUCCAUCGACUAAGGCUCUAGUAUGCAUUCAAAUGAGAACUCAUAGAACUCACAUACGCAAUUAACUCAAUUGGAAUGACACAAAAACAAAAUAAUGUCAGCACGAUAGGUUGCAAACCUCAAGUCGUGUGCUAGUGAUGAUCGAUAAGGUAUAUUCUUGAUUUGUUCUUGAAACCUUUCAAGACCAUUAAGACUCCCACUGACUCCUUGACAUAUAAGAUUCUCUUGUCAAGAAACAUUUCUUGACAAAACAAAUAUUCAAGAGUUAGUGUAGUUCUUAUCAAGACAAAACACUUCGCAAAUUGGUCCUAGUUGGUCUUUGUCUUAUCCAAGACAUCACAACUUACCAAUUUCUAAUGUGCAAGAAUAAGAAAACUUUUCCAAAUUCUACAUUUGAUGAGUGUUAUAAACCUACUUAAGACUUGUCACUCAAUGUCACAAUCUUGGAGUAUGACUCUAAGACUUGAUAUUGGAACGAAGUAUGAUUGACUCUUUUAUUUAACCAUUGCUACAAUUCUCGAUUCCUCUUCUUAGACAUGCAAAUACACUAAGACUCACUUAGAGGAUCAAUUGAGAUAUGGUUCUUAAUCAUUAAGACUUCAUCAUAAAACACAAUAAAAGGUACUCUCCAUUCUUCUUAGAAUGGAGAAACUUUUAUCUUUCUGCCUUCUUGAUUCUUCUUAUUCGUUCUGCUAUUGAUUGAAACUAUCUCAGUUAACUCAGCAUUAUACUCAAUCUUAUAAGUAUAACCAUAUUUACUAAACUUUAGUAAAUCAUGACGAAUAUCUUUGUCACUCUUGUGGUAGACUUGAUCAACGUACGACCUAGUGUACUCGAUCUCCUAGUCCUUCAAUUGACACUUUGUCAAAGAAUUAGUCUAAAUUUUCCAAAUGUGAAAGUUUUUCAUUCAUCAUACAAUACACGUUGCAUGAUUCCAAGUUUCUGUCCAAUUGAAACUUGGGUGAUGAGAAACUCUCCCUAUUUGGUAAACUUAUGAUAUGUCCACAAAUAACAUAAUUAAGAAUCAAAUCCAUUGUUGUUAAUAAUAGAAACAUUCAAACAUCAAUUUUUUCAUACAUGCCAUCGCAAGGAUAAAUAAAUAAGAUAAAAUCAAAAUUCAUUUUAUUGCGGAAAAAAUUUGUCCUUACAAUGCAAUUCAAUUGAAAAACUAUGUUAUUACAUAUUUCUUAACAAUCUAUUCUAACUCCAAAUAGUAGCUCAAGAAUCCAUUCUUCAAGUAUUGCGAUCGAAAUCCAUUUCUUCAUGAUUAGAUUCAGCUCACUUCUUCCCUCAAGCUUCCUCUCUUUUCUUCAAUCCUACAAAACAUCAAAAUGUAAUCUUAUCACAUCAUGUAUUAAGAAUCUAGAAUAUGAACUCAAAAGAGUUAGAUAAUGGAUUUUUACCUGAAGCAGAGCCAUACGUCUUGACUCUCCCAUCUCUUAGAUCUCUCAGGUAGUUAGGGCAGCUUCGUCUCCAAUGCCCCUUCUCUUGGCAAUAAAAGCAAAUGGACUCCUUUGGCACAGCACAUCGGACAAUCACAGACUUAGUUCUUUCUGCACUUCCAAUGUUGUCAGUGUCCAUUGAAGUUUGGGAGUUUGAUUCACCAGACAAGUUUGCUUGACCAACACGCCAAAUCAUUGCUGAUUCAGCAGCUAUAAGCAAAUAGGUGAGAUUAAUGAGGGUCACGUCGUGAUCCAUCACAUAGUACUCUCUAACGAACUCACUAUAUGAUUCAGGAAGUGAUUGAAGAACCCAGUCAGCAGCCAACUCGCUUGAAAUCUUGACACCCAACAUGCUUAACCUAUCAAUGUGUGACUUCAUCUCUAAGACAUGUGCACACACAGGUUUCCCAUCUUCGUGUUUACUUGCCAAAAGGGCUUGAGUGAGCUUGAACUUUUCAAGCCUUUGAACUUGUGGGUCAAGGAGAACGAUUGGAGGAGGUGGAGGAAGUGAAGCAUGACUCUCAUUUCCUUGAUCGUAUCUCAGAAUGUCAUCUUCAUUUGGAAAGCUUGUUCCAAAGGAUUUGGGAAGACCAUUGUAAGAUUCAGACAUCUACAAAACGAGAGAAAAUUCAAGUUAUGUUGAUUAGAAUUCUUGAUGUAACACCCAAAUGAAACAUCAAGCUAGGAUCCAACACAAUAUUCUACAACCUAGAAAAGGGAUGUCGUAAUCUAGUUGCAAAAUAUUUGAAGGUAGGUAAAUGACGAUUUACCAAUUUCCACCAUGAAAAACGAAAAGGAAGAUUAAGUUUUAAAUGAAUUGAAACUCCUAGAUCUUUUGAGAUUCAUUGAACUUUUCAAUGGCAUGUUUAAUCUCGAUUAUGCCCUACUAUUUGUGACUGGGAUGCCGAGGAUCACAAACAAGGUGUGAAUAACCAUACGAAUCACGUGGUGCACCCAAUUCUACUAUCACCUAAUCAAUGUGCCGGUUAGCCACACACGCUCCAUUGAUCUAUGACAAACAUCGAGUCACCCUUCGCUACCAAUGUCAUCCCCAAAUUAGUGUGCCAGUUAACCACACACGCUCCACUAACGUUUGACAGGGGUACGAAGUGUAAUUCUAUGGAUUAGCAUACAAUUUCACAUUUUUCCUAAAGUAACUAUGAUUUGGGAAUUUGAAAAAGCAUUUAGUUACUUUGUACUUCAUUAUACUUAUAAUGGAAGGUUUCUGUCCUAUCCUACCCGUUCGGCUAACGACCCUCCACUAGUCAAGAGUGCGGUGGGUAAGAGGGGAUACCCAUUCAAUCGCCAUUUUAUAGGCAAUUUCCUUAAACACCCCUUAUAGACCAGCUUCGUGAAUGAGGUCCACUAAAGGUAAGACUGACUGUUUAUUCAUAUAUAAUACUAGACUUUUAAUGUUAUAUAUAAUAUAGGGUGUAUUUUACACUUUUAAAAUACUAGGUGGUUUAACUUAGUAAAUUAUACUUUUAAUUUAAUUAAAUGUAAACCAAAAACUUUAUGGGUUUAUUAAAUCACUUUUAAUUAUACACUUUAAUUAAUUAACAAAACCAUAAGGGUGUGAUUCGAACUUUUCAAAUUACUAGGGUUUUAGAAUUUAACAUUUCAAAAUUAAACUUAUAAUCAACUUUUAAAUUCCAAAAUUUGAGGGCAAGUUUUGAAACAUUUCAAAACAUUAGGGAUCAAAUAACAAAUAAUUCAAAUUAAACAAUUAAUUUCAUAAUUAUCUACAUUUGACCUAAUCUUAUUUUAGUCAUUAGAUAAUUACCAAAUAACUUUAAAUAAUUCAUAUUUAUCACAUAAACAACCAACAUUUAAAAUAUUUGAAAUUAUCUAUUGUUUUGGCAAGGAUAAACAUAUAAUUAAGAUAAAAUUCGGAUUUUAGCUUCAUAAAACAAUUUAAGUAUCAAAUCCAAGUCAAAACAGCAGCUAAAUCCCGAAAUACCCUCUGCCUGACGCACUGACUCGCCGAGUCAGACCUGGACUCGCCGAGUAGGGCCAACUCGCCGAGUCCAGAUACUGACUCGCCGAGUUGUGUCGGGCAGAGGCAAUAAAACUCGUUUUUAAGCAAACAAAACAGUUAAGCAUCACAUACAACUGAAACCAAUCAAGGCUCUGAUACCACUGAUGGGUUUUAUGCAUAAGAAACAAUCCUAUGUGCUCAUACAAACCCUAAUGUUUGGAUCUAGGUUUCUCUAUUGUACAUGCUUUGAAUCCAAGACUAAUAAACUCAUAUCUAACAUAUUAUAAACUGAAUUAGGGUUUAGAGAAUUACCUUUGAUUGUUAUAUAGCAAUAACAAUCAAUUCCUUGCUUGGAUUGGCCUUAGAAAGCUUAGUGCCUCAAGUGCUACACAUCUAAUGGAGUCACAAACACCUUAUGCAACUUGGAUGAAGAGGAGAAGAAAGGAGGCUGCCAAAAACGACUAGAAACCCUAGAGAAUUAGUUGUCCACGUUUUUGGGGCCUAAGGGGUCCUUUAUAUACUUGUGUGGGUUGCUAGGGUUUCAGUCAAAACCCUAAUGGACAACUUAAACUCUAAGCAACCCAUGGAACCUUCUGGAUAAGGCCAUGGACAAAAAUAUGAUGGGCUCCCAUCAUAAUUUCGUUCACCCCUUGUUCCUUUAGCAAUCCUUAGCCCAAUAACUUAAUUAUCCAAUAAUUGCAGUCCAGUCCCCUAAAUUUAAUUAAUCUCUUUUAGUCACAAAAUUAAUUCUUAAUUAAUUCUUGACUAAUAUUAAUUAAACAAUAUGAUUUCCCCUUUAAUAUAUUAUUCUCAUAAUAUAUUAAUAAAUCAUAUUUAAACCUCUCUCUCCUUAAUUCAUCCUACAUAUUGCUAUGGUGAAGGCAACCAAAAAGGACCAUGCACAUAAUCGGGUCAAGUACAUACCAAAAUAGUUAUGGACUUAGACACUAAUCCAACAAUACUUUCAUUGGUUUGUUUAUUUUAAGCAAAAUUAAAAGUAGAAUGUUAUAAUUGGAAUGUUAUGGGGAGAACUGGAUGGUGGGAUUACAUCCCUCACAGUGAAAAGAAGUUUGUUGGAUUUAACAAGGACGGGAAGCAACUUAUGAUGCACAGAAACGGAUACGGCAACGGGAAACGGAUACAGAACAAAAAUGGGAAACAACAAAACUCGAAAAUUCAAGAUUCGGAUACUGCAGAGAUACGACAAUAUAUACGAAAUUACAAAAUAGAUAUAUAUUGAUGCAAAGUGUAAACUCCAAAAAUACUAAAUUUUUCAAAGGUAAUUAAUUAUCAAUAAUCAAAUCAUUUUCAAAAUUCGGUUUAUCUAGUGAGAUGUCGACAACCUCAAAAAAUUCUAAAUCUUCAAUUGAAUCAAAAGCAUCUCCACCCUCAUCCCACAUCCUUACAUCAUCAUUCAGAUUCUUUGACAAAAGUCGGAGAUUAUUGUGGAUGUAAACCGAGUCUUGAGCAUGACUUGUAGUCAACUUGUUCCUUUUAAGCGAGUGAACAAAUGCAUAAGUACUCCUCCAAUUACGCUCAGCACAAGAAUAAGAAGUAGGUUGUCCAACUAAUCUGAAAGUCAAAGUCCGGAGAAAAGGAGUUUGAGCACCAAAGUUAACCCACCAAUUCUUGCGUUCCAUAGUAGCCAUCUCUGAAAUACUUGUUAAAUCCUCAAAAUGACCACUCUUCAUUGAAAACAUUGCAUACUUAUCAAGGACUCUACUAUGCUCAUCAUCAUUAGGAAACAACCUUCGAAAAUAUUUCAUCAUUUCUUGUGAAAUUUCUCCAUCCCUAUGUGGAGCACAUCUUGUAGAAUCCUCAAGUAACCAUGCAUUAUUAUAAUAUCUACAACAUUUAAAAGUUAAAACAUAAGUAUAUAAUAGAAAUCAAAUGUAUAACUUAAAAUCAUAUACCUUUGAUUUAAAGAGUGAGUUAAACAAUGUAGGGAGUGUUAUUUUUCGCCCAUCGAGCCAUUAAAAUACGAUGCACAACAUCAUAACAACUCAUUUGAGAUGCCGAACGUUUUUCUUUCUUGUAGAUCUCAUUUUUCACUUUCUCAAUCAUCGAAUCCCACAUCUCAUACACCAAGUGUAAACAUGGCUUGUUAGUGUCACAAACUCUAAUCAUCUCAUAUAUAGGUCCAGUGAAACUAAGAAUAUAUACUACUUUGUCCCACCAUUCAUCAUUCAAAAUAUAUUCUUUCACAAAGUUUGUUUUCUCAGUGUCAUAUAAUCUAUAAGAAGAUUAUUCUUUGUUUAUGACCAUAGCUUGAAGACCCAUUUUGAUAAGUUUCAAUCUGUUGAGCAUCACAAUGAUGGAGCAAAGCGAGUGUCGACAACCGAAAGCAGUCUAAGAGGACUAAACUUCGUGAAAAUCGAGAGUCUCGUGUUAUGGUUCAUGAUUAAAUAUUUUAUUGCAAGCGCAUCUUCGUGAGCUUCUUUUAUCCAGGUGCAUUGUUCAUAUGUUAGUUCAUUUGUUUCCAUAUUCCUUGGUGAACAAAUGUUCUUUAAAGCAAGAUUAAGCAUAUGAACAAUACAUGGUGUCCGAUAGACGUGAGGGAACUGACUCUCUAUAUUCUCUCCAGCCGCCUUAUAAUUUCCUGUAUUGUCGGUAAUGAUUUGCACAACAUUUUGAUGACCAAUUUCAUUGAUUUUCACAACAUUGGGGAAGUAAAAGAUAGAUUUUAUAUUGUUGAAUUGAUGAAAGAAGUCAUCAAUGAAAUUGGUCAUCAAAAUGUUGUGCAAAUCAUUACUGACAAUGCAGCAAAUUAUAAGGUGGUUGGAGAUAAUAUAGAGAGUUAGUUCCCUCACGUUUAUCGGACACCAUGUGUUGUUCAUACGCUUAAUCUUGCUUUGAAGAACAUUUGUUCACCAAGGAAUAUGGAAACAAAUGAACUAACAUAUGAACAAUGCACCUGGAUAAAAGAAGCUCACGAAGAUGCGCUUGCAAUAAAAUAUUUAAUCAUGAACCAUAACACGAGACUCUCGAUUUUCACCAAGUUUAGUCCUCUUAGACUGCUUUCGGUUGUCGACACUCGCUUUGCUCCAUCAUUGUGAUGCUCAACAGAUUGAAACUUAUCAAAAUGGGUCUUCAAGCUAUGGUCAUAAACAAAGAAUAAUCUUCUUAUAGAUUAGAUGACACUGAGAAAACAAACUUUGUGAAAGAAUAUAUUUUGAAUGAUGAAUGGUGGGACAAAGUAGUAUAUAUUCUUAGUUUCACUGGACCUAUAUAUGAGAUGAUUAGAGUUUGUGACACUGACAAGCCAUGUUUACACUUGGUGUAUGAGAUGUGGGAUUCGAUGAUUGAGAAAGUGAAAAAUGAGAUCUACAAGAAAGAAAAACGUUCGGCAUCUCAAAUGAGUUGUUGUUAUGAUGUUGUGCAUCGUAUUUUAGUGGCUCGAUGGGCGAAGAAUAACACUCCUCUACAUUUUUAGCUCACUCUUUAAAUCACAUGUAUAUGAUUUUAAAUUAUACACUUGAUUUCUGUUACUUGAGGAUUCUAUAAGAUGUGCUCCACAUAAGGAUGGAGAAAUUUCACAAGAAAUGAUGAAAUGUUUCCUAAUGAUGAUGAGCAUAGUAGAGUCCUUGAUGAGUAUGCAACGUUUUCAAUGAAGAGUGGUCAUUUUGAGGAUUUAACAAGUAUUUCAGAGAUGGCUACUAUGGAACCCAAGAAUUGGUGGGUUAACUUUGGUGCUCAAACUCCUUUUCUCCGGACUUUGACUUUCAGAUUAAUUGGACAACCUACUUCUUAUUCUUGUGCUGAGCGUAAUUGGAGUACUUAUGCAUUUGUUCACUCGAUUAAAAGGAACAAAUUGACUACAAGUCGUGCUCAAGACUCGGUUUACAUCCACAAUAAUCUCCGACUUUUGUCAAAGAAUUCGAAUGAUGAUGUAAGGAUGUGGGAUGUGGGUGGAGAUGCUUUUGAUUCAAUUGAAGAUUUAGGAUUUUUUGAGGUUGUCGACAUCUCACUAGAUAAACCGGAUUUUGAAAAUGAUUUGAUUAUUGAUUACUAAUUACCUCUGAAAAUUUAGUAUUUUUGGA
This is a long non-coding RNA of Lactuca sativa (garden lettuce), 11637 nucleotides long. RefSeq lists it as uncharacterized. The record is from RefSeq and is a predicted model, not a curated record. NCBI's taxonomy places the organism in Eukaryota, Viridiplantae, Streptophyta, Magnoliopsida, Asterales, Asteraceae.